Molecule: long non-coding RNA, 1062 nt
Organism: Cyprinus carpio carpio
Lineage: Eukaryota; Metazoa; Chordata; Actinopteri; Cypriniformes; Cyprinidae
Source: Ensembl
UGAUAAAACAAUCUUUAUUUAAAUAUUUAAAAAUAGCUUGGGGAAUAGGGAAAGGGCAAUUAAAACUAAACUCUGACUCGGCCCUCCAGAUGGGCUAUGGCCGGGAAGAGGUCAGGGAGCAAGGGGGCCACGGGGAUCCGGGGCGUGGGACUCGGGCCCCGGCCUGAGUCUUAGGUAUCCGUAGCGCCCUCCUUCUUCCUCCUCUUCGCUGAAUACAGCUCACGGUAAGUACUGGUUCACACAGUUCGUUCUCGAGGUGCUCACUCUCUUUCUCUUCCUCCACAGGCAACGGCUGGGACACAAAAGCACAGUUAAUUCGGCUUGGUUUUGCUCUCACCUCUUCGCUGAUUGCAGCUCACAGUAAGUACUGGUUCACACAGUUCGUUCUCUGGGUGCUCACUCUCUUUCUCUUUCUCCACAGGUAUCAACUUAGGCACAAUAGCACAGUUAGUUUGCUUUGAAUGGCUCUCACCUCUGGGCUGGGCACAGCGUACUGUAAGUACAGGUUCCCUCUGGUUCUCCUUGUGUUACUCACUCUCUCUUUCCUUUCCUCUCCACAGGUGGGCUGGACACAGCGUACCGUGCUAUCUCCGGAGAUCUGAAGCACGCUCACAACAUAUACUAUACUGAACUAGGCUAGGACCAGCAGUCUCCUUGUCCUCCCGCGACGAAGUGCGUGAAGGCGGGGGUUUAUCUGACAGGACACACGGCAAUACACAGCAGCCCACAGCAAUAUACAACACCACGUCAAAAUUAUAGGUUUUCACAGCACGAAGACUCACCCACCACACUCAGUGUACGAAAAGGACACCCGUCUUCCUUCACUUCGCUUGGUUCGGAUCUGGCGAUGGAAUAUGCGGCCUAGCUAGUGAUGUCGUCGUUGUGACUACUUCAAUAAGUAUUCCUUCGGCUCUCCCACCACACUAUAUUAGGGGUAGGGCCGCCCUCCUCCUGGAGAGAUCUACACAACGCCAGGUCAAUAUACAGGGCACUUUCGACUGGCUCUUAGUACUCACAUCAAUGCCGCUUCCAAUCCCCUUUUUCACGUCGUCUCAGUUCGCC